UCCUUGGCCAGACUUUUCUCACAUCUUAUCUCAAUUAUUUAAAGAACUCCCAGUGGGUCUGCAGAUUUUAAUCCUGACCCAGUCUCUACGUAGCUGCUGGUGGUAGAGAUGUACUCAUGGGAAGUGAAUCAAGAUAGUAAAAAUCCUAACUCUUGACGUGUAGUAAAUGCCUGAGGAAUUGAAAUGCACUGGAUUAGAGAAUCCAAGAUGGUGGAGGAGUGGGAAACCUUCACUUCAUCUGGUACCAGGAAUUCAGAUCAUCCUGAACAUCUGUGAACUCAACCGGAGAUCUAAGAAAAGAAUAGCUGCAAUUCUACAAAUAGAAAAGUGACCCCUUUCUGGAAGCUAGAAGAACCCUCUAGCAGUGAGGAGAGAACGGAUGUCGCCGGGCAGCUGUGACAUCAGCUGAAAGGAAGAGCCAAGGUCGCUCGGGCAUCUUAGGAAGACUCUGCCUUAAAGACUGAUAAUUAUGGUGUCCUUUCUGAUCCUGCACAAGAUUUGUCCGAUGUGUCCGAGUGGAUUAGAGUGGAGAGUGGAAGCAGAAAAGGAGCCAAGGACAAGACGCAAGAAAUAAAGAAGAGCAGGACAUGCCAGGACAGGGAGAUUUCCUCCAGUCCCUCUGUUUAUAAGUCCCACCAGUGCCAUUGGGGGGGAUUAAAAGUAAUACGUGUGCAUGCUAUUUGCAGCUUUUGCAUGUAUGAUUUAUACUUAUGGUAACAGUUGAAUAAAUAGUGUAUAUUUCACUUUAUAGUGUGAUUUAGCUGUUCCUAAUAAGCCUGUCUUGUUUAUAUACGAUCCCAGAUUAAAUGCAACAUACAGGUCUAACAAAGGACGUGGAUCUGGGAUGUACUGAGAACAUUUAAAACCCAAUUACAAGACGGCAAAAACGGUCCAGUUUAUUAAAAUGGGAAAAGAUCUGAGCACACUUUACCGAAGAAGAAACACAGUUGGCAAAAAAAGGACAUGAAAAGAUGCUCCGCGUAACCAGUCAUUUGGAAAAUGCAAAUCAAGAUCACCGGGAGAAAUCACCACGCAUAUGGGAGCAGCUAACCUUUCAAAAACGAACCAUACCAAGUGCCGGCAAGGAUGGGGGAAACUGGAGCUCUCCCUGGCUUUCUUAAACGUUAACAACACCCCCACUGUAAGGUCCAGCCAUUUCACUUCUAGGUGUUUCCAUAUUCAAGAGGAAUAAAAUCGCCCGUCCACUCACAGACUUAAGCGUGAAUAUUCAUAGCAGCUUUACUGUACUAGCCCCAAACUGGAAACAAAUGUCCU
This is a long non-coding RNA of Mustela erminea (ermine), 1275 nucleotides long. RefSeq lists it as uncharacterized. The transcript is spliced from 3 exons. NCBI's taxonomy places the organism in Eukaryota, Metazoa, Chordata, Mammalia, Carnivora, Mustelidae. The record is from RefSeq and is a predicted model, not a curated record.